Molecule: small RNA, 77 nt
Filed under: Flavobacterium sp. A45
Lineage: Bacteria; Pseudomonadati; Bacteroidota; Flavobacteriia; Flavobacteriales; Flavobacteriaceae
Description: Flavo-1 RNA
Rfam family: Flavo-1 RNA
Source: Rfam by way of RNAcentral
AAUCAGCCCCGAUGGGAGUAAGUAUCCUUUUAUGCCAGGGUUCGGCAUAAAAGAUACUGCGGACAGCGGGAGAAAUG